UACGUAGGGGGCAAGCGUUGUCCGGAUUUAUUGGGCGUAAAGAGCGUGUAGGCGGCCAAGCAGGUCCGCUGUGAAAACUCGAGGCUCAACCUCGAGACGUCGGUGGAAACCGUUUGGCUAGAGUCCGGAAGAGGAGAGUGGAAUUCCCGGUGUAGCGGUGAAAUGUGCAGAUAUCGGGAAGAACACCCGUGGCGAAGGCGGCUCUCUGGGACGGUACUGACGCUGAGACGCGAAAGCGUGGGGAGCGAACAGG
RNAcentral lists this ribosomal RNA (253 nucleotides) under uncultured bacterium. Its description in RNAcentral is "partial 16S ribosomal RNA". It matches the Rfam family "Bacterial small subunit ribosomal RNA", at positions 524 to 776 of the family's 1533-position model. The record is from RNAcentral.